Molecule: ribosomal RNA, 252 nt
Filed under: uncultured bacterium
Lineage: Bacteria
Description: partial 16S ribosomal RNA
Rfam family: Bacterial small subunit ribosomal RNA
Source: RNAcentral
UACGUAGGGUGCAAGCGUUAAUCGGAAUUACUGGGCGUAAAGCGUGCGCAGGCGGUCCGCUAAGACAGAUGUGAAAUCCCCGGGCUUAACCUGGGAACUGCAUUUGUGACUGGCGGGCUAGAGUAUGGCAGAGGGGGGUAGAAUUCCACGUGUAGCAGUGAAAUGCGUAGAGAUGUGGAGGAACACCAGUGGCGAAGGCGGCUUUCUGGUCUGUAACUGACGCUGAGGCGCGAAAGCGUGGGGAGCAAACAG